Molecule: non-coding RNA, 802 nt
Filed under: Parnassius orleans
Lineage: Eukaryota; Metazoa; Arthropoda; Insecta; Lepidoptera; Papilionidae
Source: RNAcentral
AAAUCUAUAUGAAAAAAUUGUAUAUAUAAAUAAAUUUUUAUGAUUUAUGAAAUUUAAUUUAAAUUUAUUUUACAUGUAAAUUUUAGUGUUAGUUUUUAAUUAUUUUAAUAAUAAUUAUUAUAUUUGCAGUAAUUAGAAUUAAAAAUUUAAGAAAUUAAGAUUUAGUAAUAUAUAAUUUAUUAACAAAUUUUGUGCCAGCAGUUGCGGUUAUACAAAAAAUAAUUUAAAUUUUAUCAGUAUAUAAUAAAUAAAAAUUAAUAUUUAAAUUAAAUAUUAAAUUAUUAAGUGAAAUUUUAAUUUAAUUAAAAUUUAUAUAGGUUUUAUGAUUUAUUAAAUUUUAUAAAAAACUAGGAUUAGAUACCCUAUUAUUAAAAAUUAAAUUUAUAAUACUAAAAUAGUAGAUAAUUAUUUAUUGAAACUUAAGUAAUUUGGCGGUAUUUUAGUUCAUUUAGAGGAAUCUGUUUAAUAAUUGAUAAUCCACGAAUAAAUUUACUUAAUUUAUUAUUUUGUAUAUCGUUGUUAAAAAAAUAUUUUUUAAUAAAAAUAAUAUUUUAAAAUUUUUAUUUAAAAUUAAUUCAGAUCAAGAUGCAGAUUAUAAUUAAGAAUAUAAUGGAUUACAAUAAAUAAAUUUAAAUGGAUAAUAUUUUUUAAGAAAUAUUUGAAGGUGGAUUUAAAUGUAAUUUUAAUUAAUUUAUUAAAAUGAUUAUAUAUUAAAAUAUGUACAUAUUGCCCGUCGCUUUCAUUAAUAAAUUGGAAUAAGUCGUAACAAAGUAGAGGUACUGGAAAGUGUUUCUAGAAAGAA